RNAcentral lists this transfer RNA (76 nucleotides) under Thiobacillus sp. RNAcentral's name for it is "tRNA-Lys". It matches the Rfam family "tRNA". From Rfam's summary of the family: Transfer RNA (tRNA) molecules are approximately 80 nucleotides in length. The record is from RNAcentral. RNAcentral also lists the same sequence under 2 other names. Lineage: Bacteria; Pseudomonadati; Pseudomonadota; Betaproteobacteria; Nitrosomonadales; Thiobacillaceae.
GGGUCGGUAGCUCAGCCGGUAGAGCAGUGGACUUUUAAUCCAUUGGUCGCGAGUUCGAAUCUCGCCCGACCCACCA